GCAGCAGGCGCGAAAACUUUACAAUGCGGGAAACCGUGAUAAGGGGACACCGAGUGCCAGCAUCAUAUGCUGGCUGUCCAGGUGUGUAAAAUACACCUGUCAGCAAGGGCCGGGCAAGACCGGUGCCAGCCGCCGCGGUAACACCGGCGGCCCGAGUGGUGAUCGUGAUUAUUGGGUCUAAAGGGUCCGUAGCCGGUUUGGUCAGUCCUCCGGGAAAUCUGACGGCUCAACCGUUAGGCUUUCGGGGGAUACUGCCAGGCUUGGAACCGGGAGAGGUAAGAGGUACUACAGGGGUAGGAGUGAAAUCUUGUAAUCCCUGUGAGACCACCUGUGGCGAAGGCGUCUUACCAGAACGGGUUCGACGGUGAGGGACGAAAGCUGGGGGCACGAACCGGAUUAGAUACCCGGGUAGUCCCAGCCGUAAACGAUGCUCGCUAGGUGUCAGGCAUGGCGCGACCGUGUCUGGUGCCGCAGGGAAGCCGUGAAGCGAGCCACCUGGGAAGUACGGCCGCAAGGCUGAAACUUAAAGGAAUUGGCGGGGGAGCAC
This 547-nucleotide ribosomal RNA is filed under the name uncultured archaeon. RNAcentral's name for it is "bacterial SSU rRNA". It matches the Rfam family "Archaeal small subunit ribosomal RNA", at positions 332 to 879 of the family's 1478-position model. The record is from RNAcentral.